This 769-nucleotide ribosomal RNA is filed under the name uncultured bacterium. RNAcentral's name for it is "bacterial SSU rRNA". It matches the Rfam family "Bacterial small subunit ribosomal RNA", at positions 8 to 771 of the family's 1533-position model. The record is from RNAcentral.
AGAGUUUGAUCCUGGCUCAGAUUGAACGCUGGCGGCAGGCUUAACACAUGCAAGUCGAGCAGAGUGAUUGUGCUUGCACAAUCACUUAGCGGCGGACGGGUGAGUAAUGCUUAGGAAUCUGCCAUUUAGUGGGGGACAACAUUCCGAAAGGAAUGCUAAUACCGCAUACGUCCUACGGGAGAAAGCAGGGGAUCUUCGGACCUUGCGCUAAAUGAUGAGCCUAAGUCGGAUUAGCUAGUUGGUGGGGUAAAGGCCUACCAAGGCGACGAUCUGUAGCGGGUCUGAGAGGAUGAUCCGCCACACUGGGACUGAGACACGGCCCAGACUCCUACGGGAGGCAGCAGCGGGGAAUAUUGGACAAUGGGCGGAAGCCUGAUCCAGCCAUGCCGCGUGUGUGAAGAAGGCCUUUUGGUUGUAAAGCACUUUAAGCGAGGAGGAGGCUACCUAGAUUAAUACUCUAGGAUAGUGGACGUUACUCACAGAAUAAGCACCGGCUAACUCUGUGCCAGCAGCCGCGGUAAUACAGAGGGUGCGAGCGUUAAUCGGAUUUACUGGGCGUAAAGCGUGCGUAGGCGGCUGAUUAAGUCGGAUGUGAAAUCCCUGAGCUUAACUUAGGAAUUGCAUUCGAUACUGGUCAGCUAGAGUAUGGGAGAGGAUGGUAGAAUUCCAGGUGUAGCGGUGAAAUGCGUAGAGAUCUGGAGGAAUACCGAUGGCGAAGGCAGCCAUCUGGCCUAAUACUGACGCUGAGGUACGAAAGCAUGGGGAGCAA